Molecule: ribosomal RNA, 440 nt
Filed under: uncultured bacterium
Lineage: Bacteria
Description: partial 16S ribosomal RNA
Rfam family: Bacterial small subunit ribosomal RNA
Source: RNAcentral
CCUACGGGAGGCAGCAGUGGGGGAUAUUGCACAAUGGGGGGAACCCUGAUGCAGCGACGCCGCGUGGGUGAAGAAGCGCCUCGGCGCGUAAAGCCCUGUCAGCAGGGAAGAAAAUGACGGUACCUGAAGAAGAAGCCCCGGCUAACUACGUGCCAGCAGUCGCGGUAAUACGUAGGGGGCAAGCGUUAUCCGGAUUUACUGGGUGGAAAGGGGGCGCAGACGGCGAUGCAAGCCAGGAGUGAAAGCCCGGGGCCCAACCCCGGGACUGCUCUUGGAACUGCGUGGCUGGAGUGCAGGAGGGGCAGGCGGAAGUCCUGGUGUAGCGGUGAAAUGCGUAGAUAUCAGGAGGAACACCGGUGGCGAAGGCGGCCUGCUGGACUGCAACUGACGUUGAGGCCCGAAAGCGUGGGGAGCAAACAGGAUUAGAUACCCUGGUAGUC